This 442-nucleotide ribosomal RNA is filed under the name uncultured Anaerovorax sp. RNAcentral's name for it is "bacterial SSU rRNA". It matches the Rfam family "Bacterial small subunit ribosomal RNA", at positions 338 to 795 of the family's 1533-position model. Lineage: Bacteria; Bacillati; Bacillota; Clostridia; Peptostreptococcales; Anaerovoracaceae. The record is from RNAcentral.
CCUACGGGGGGCUGCAGUGGGGAAUAUUGCACAAUGGGCGAAAGCCUGAUGCAGCAACGCCGCGUGAGCGAUGAAGGCCUUUGGGUCGUAAAGCUCUGUCCUUGGGGAAGAAAAAAAUGACGGUACCCUUGGAGGAAGCCCCGGCUAACUACGUGCCAGCAGCCGCGGUAAUACGUAGGGGGCGAGCGUUAUCCGGAAUUAUUGGGCGUAAAGAGUGCGUAGGUGGUUUUGUAAGCGCGGGGUGAAAGGCUAUGGCUCAACCAUAGUAAGCCUUGCGAACUGUGAGACUUGAGUGCAGGAGAGGAAAGCGGAAUUCCUAGUGUAGCGGUGAAAUGCGUAGAUAUUAGGAGGAACACCAGUGGCGAAGGCGGCUUUCUGGACUGUAACUGACACUGAGGCACGAAAGCGUGGGGAGCAAACAGGAUUAGAUACCCUGGUAGUC